This 465-nucleotide ribosomal RNA is filed under the name uncultured bacterium. RNAcentral describes it as "partial 16S ribosomal RNA". It matches the Rfam family "Bacterial small subunit ribosomal RNA", at positions 28 to 507 of the family's 1533-position model. The record is from RNAcentral.
GACGAACGCUGGCGGCGUGCUUAACACAUGCAAGUCGUACGGUAAGGCCCUUUCGGGGGUACACGAGUGGCGAACGGGUGAGUAACACGUGAGUAACCUGCCCACAACUUUGGGAUAACGCUAGGAAACUGGUGCUAAUACUGGAUAUGUGCUCCUGCUGCAUGGUGGGGGUUGGAAAGCUCCGGCGGUUGUGGAUGGACUCGCGGCCUAUCAGCUUGUUGGUGGGGUAGUGGCCUACCAAGGCGGCGACGGGUAGCCGGCCUGAGAGGGUGACCGGCCACAUUGGGACUGAGAUACGGCCCAGACUCCUACGGGAGGCAGCAGUGGGGAAUAUUGCACAAUGGGCGCAAGCCUGAUGCAGCAACGCCGCGGGCGGGAUGACGGCCUUCCGGUUGUAAACCGCUUUCAGCAGGGACGAAGCUUUUUGUGACGGUACCUGCAGAAGAAGCACCGGCUAACUACGUG